Bombyx mori (domestic silkworm) is the source of this 531-nucleotide long non-coding RNA. RefSeq lists it as uncharacterized. Lineage: Eukaryota; Metazoa; Arthropoda; Insecta; Lepidoptera; Bombycidae. The record is from RefSeq and is a predicted model, not a curated record. The transcript is spliced from 2 exons.
GUGCAAAUCUUUAAAGAGAAGUUUGAAAUUAACGUAGAGUACUAUCAUUCAAAUUUAUGAGGUUUUUAUAAUACAAUUCAAAGAAAAUUAAGCAGGAAGGCAAAAGCUUGCUUAACUAAUGAGUCGGGAUAUAACGGUGCCGUAUAAGUGUCCUAUCUUGUGCAGUAAAACAUUUCAAUGGUUGUACACUUGGUCACAGGCUCGAUUCCUCGGUAGAGAGCAGUUCGGAGGACGUGUGAGAAUGAAGGACAAUAGUACCCCGCGCGCCGGUGCGGUGCUGAGCAAAAAAGCCAUGAAAAAAUUUAUUAUUUCCACAUUAAUUGUUGUUUGAACGUAACUCGGGUAAAACGGGUCAACACUUUUACUAGAUAGUUUUAUUAAUUUUAAAACAUUUAUUUAUUAGUAUUUAAAUCACAAAUAAUUAUAAAAAAAACUAAGAUUAUGUUCAAUUAAAAUUAAAGCGUUUAGUCUAGAGUCUACUUAAUUAAUCGAAUAAUUAUAGUGAUUCAAUAGAAAUAGCUACUACAAUUA